Gopherus flavomarginatus (Mexican gopher tortoise) is the source of this 902-nucleotide long non-coding RNA. RefSeq lists it as uncharacterized. The record is from RefSeq and is a predicted model, not a curated record. The transcript has 3 exons. Lineage: Eukaryota; Metazoa; Chordata; Testudines; Testudinidae.
UCACGCCAAAGUCACAGCUGGCUUUGGGGAAAGGCGGGGUCGCAGAGCUGGGGCAGUUCUGUUCAGUUCCUCCGAGCUCCGGUUUCUUCCACUCCUUGCUUUGCCUAGCUGCGUUGCAAAACCGCCUCUUCUGGACUAAUCCGAGCAAGGCAACAUCGCAAGUGCCAAUUGUUUGCUAACGCGGCGGAGAAGCAUUCCUUCCGCCACAUGCCAUUGCUGCACCCCGCAGCACCCCCUCCCAGUCCCCCUGCCCCAUCCUUGCCCCACCCCAGCGCCCACACCGGCUUUCCCUGAGACACCUCUGCCAGGGUCUCUUGUCAAGCCUGUCCUGGCUGCACCGCAGCUCUCGAGAGCCUUCCCCCUCUUCCUGCUUGGCUGCAGCAGCCACUCGCUUGCAAACACCCGUUGUCAACACUGCUCUCUCACUGGUUCCCCGCAGACCCCGGCCUCACGCCACCCCAGUGGAAGAGCAACAAAGCUGGAAUUGCAGUCUCGGUUCGGUCACUGUUGUCCCACCCUGGUUUUCAGGUCUUCUUCCUCUUUUCGUGAAAAGGGAAGCUCACAGCGUCCACCCAGUCAAUAUGACAACUUGGCUCCUGGGAUUGAUGCUAGUAAAUACAUUGACCUCUCCUCUCCUUGAACUGCUGUGCAACUCCCUCACCAUUUAAGCCCCAGUUCAGAAAGGGAUUCAAAUGAGGUUGUUAUGCUGCCCUCGUCACCACAGUAUGUGAAUGCCUUCCAGUAGUGCAUAAAGUGAUAUGAAGUCUGUCACACGUGGGCCAUUCUCUUUCCCAUCUUUUCCCGGGGGGAAGAAUUGUGAAUUCAAUGUAGUGUUUUGUAUUGGUAGGAUUUUUUUUAAAUGUACAGGCUGCUUUCUAUAUGUAUAUGUUAGAGAAGAUAAC